GAGCGGUAUUGUGUCUUCGGAUACGAGCAGAACGGCGCGCGGGUGCGGAACACGUGUGCGACCUGCCUUCAUCUGGGGGAUAGCCUUCCGACAGGAAAAUGACUACCCCCGAAUAUGUAGAAUGGCGUCAUCCAGAGUCGAAAUACUCCCGUGGACAGACAUGGGCACGCGCAAGAUUAGAUAUUUGGUACGGUAACGGCCUACCAAGUCAGUGAUCUUUAGGGGGCCUGAGAGGGUGAUCCCCCACACUGGUACUGAGACACGGACCAGACUCCUACGGGAGGCAUCACUGAGGAAUAUAGGACAAUGGGUGAGAGCCUGAUCCACCCAUCCCGCGUGAAGGACGACGGCCCUAUGGGUUGUAAACUUCUUUUGUACAGGGAUAAACCUUUCCACGUGUGGAAAGCUGAAGGUACUGUACGAAUAAGCACCGGCUAACUCCGUG
Molecule: ribosomal RNA, 445 nt
Filed under: uncultured bacterium
Lineage: Bacteria
Description: bacterial SSU rRNA
Rfam family: Bacterial small subunit ribosomal RNA
Source: RNAcentral